RNAcentral lists this ribosomal RNA (372 nucleotides) under uncultured organism. Its description in RNAcentral is "bacterial SSU rRNA". It matches the Rfam family "Bacterial small subunit ribosomal RNA", at positions 526 to 896 of the family's 1533-position model. The record is from RNAcentral.
CGUAGGUGGCAAGCGUUACUCGGAAUCACUAGGCGUAAAGCGCAGGUAGGAGGUUUGGUAAGUCUGUUGUGAAAGCUCCCGGCUCAACUGGGAGAGGCCAACGGAAACUACCAGGCUGGAGUGCGGUAGAGGUAGCUGGAAUUCCCGGUGUAGCGGUGAAAUGCGUAGAUAUCGGGAGGAAUACCUAUGGCGAAAGCAGGCUACUGGACCGUCACUGACUCUGAUCUGCGAAAGCUAGGGGAGCAAACAGGAUUAGAUACCCUGGCAGUCCUAGCCCUAAACGAUGCUCAUUAGGUGUGGUAGGUAUCGACCCCUUCCGCGCCGAAGCUAACGCAUUAAAUGAGCCGCCUGGGGAGUACGGCCGCAAGGUUG